UUUUCUGGGGAUUAGAUUUUUAUUUUAAAUUCAAUGGAUCUGGCGGUUUUUAAAUCUUUUUAGAGGAACCUGUAAUUUAAAUGAUAGUCCACGAUUUUUUUUACCUUUAAUCUCUUGUAUACCUCUGUCGUUGAAUGUAGUGAAAAUUUAUUUUCUUUAUUUUUAUUUAAUUUAUGUUAGGUCAAGGUGCAGUUAUGUAAAGGUUAUUAUGGGUUACAUUAUUUUUAGUUUGCGGAUUUUUUUUUUAGCUAAUGAUGAAUUUGGAUUUAAAAGUAAUUUUUUUUUUUUAAUUUUUU
Molecule: ribosomal RNA, 296 nt
Filed under: Kervillea conspurcata
Lineage: Eukaryota; Metazoa; Arthropoda; Insecta; Hemiptera; Issidae
Description: partial small subunit ribosomal RNA
Source: RNAcentral